Molecule: ribosomal RNA, 492 nt
Filed under: uncultured bacterium
Lineage: Bacteria
Description: partial 16S ribosomal RNA
Rfam family: Bacterial small subunit ribosomal RNA
Source: RNAcentral
AGUGAACGCUGGCGGUAGGCCUAACACAUGCAAGUCGAACGGCAGCACAGUAAGAGCUUGCUCUUACGGGUGGCGAGUGGCGGACGGGUGAGGAAUACAUCGGAAUCUACUUUUUCGUGGGGGAUAACGUAGGGAAACUUACGCUAAUACCGCAUACGACCUACGGGUGAAAGCAGGGGAUCUUCGGACCUUGCGCGAUUGAAUGAGCCGAUGUCGGAUUAGCUAGUUGGCGGGGUAAAGGCCCACCAAGGCGACGAUCCGUAGCUGGUCUGAGAGGAUGAUCAGCCACACUGGAACUGGGACACGGUCCAGACUCCUACGGGAGGCACCAGUGGGGAAUAUUGGACAAGGGGCGCAAGCCUGAUCCAGCCAUACCGCGUGGGUGAAGAAGGCCUUCGGGUUGUAAAGCCCUUUUGUUGGGAAAGAAAAGCAGCAGGUUAAUACCCCGCUGUUCUGACGGUACCCAAAGAAUAAGCACCGGCUAACUUCGUG